This 215-nucleotide ribosomal RNA is filed under the name Lactobacillus delbrueckii subsp. bulgaricus. RNAcentral's name for it is "partial 23S ribosomal RNA". It matches the Rfam family "Bacterial large subunit ribosomal RNA", at positions 742 to 955 of the family's 2925-position model. Lineage: Bacteria; Bacillati; Bacillota; Bacilli; Lactobacillales; Lactobacillaceae. The record is from RNAcentral.
AGGUUGAAGGCGCGGUAAAACGCGCUGGAGGACCGAACCCACGUAAGUUGAAAAUUGCGGGGAUGAGUUGUGGGUAGCGGUGAAAUUCCAAACGAACUUGGAGAUAGCUGGUUCUCUCCGAAAUAGCUUUAGGGCUAGCCUCGCAAAGAGGAUGCUGGAGGUAGAGCUCUGUUUGGACUAGGGGCCCGUCAAGGGUUACUGAAUUCAGAUAAACU